GGCCUCGGGCUGGUGGGGCUGCGUGUCUCGUGUGGGGAGGAGCGCGGGGCGGCUGCGAGACUGAGGAAAAGGUCAUGUGGAAAGUGGGUGUUUCUACUGUCGGAACCUCUCAGAAGGAAAGUGUUUUCCAGUUGCUCCCCAAAAAUGUGUGAAGAAGGCUGAACAAACCCUCUGUAGCAAGAUUGGCAGCGCUAAGGAGGAAAGAGUUCAUGCACCAGCAGCAAAGGCAGAGAGUCCAUCACAGUCCUGCCUUGUUCUCUCCAGCCAGGCAGGAUGUGCUCUUUGUAUCAGGACAGCUGACAAUCAGUCAGGCCUCCCAUGUCCCAUCACCUCUAGGCUGGGAUUGGAGAAUGGAAUCUCUCCCACUGUAAGAACAGAGCAAGACAUACACCACCUCAUGAGACAGAAGGAUACAAGUCUAUGGGGCCAGAUGACAUCCAUCCCAGGGUCCUGAAGGAACUGGCUGAUGUGGUUGCCAAGGUGCUCUCCAUCAUAUUUGAAAAAGGGAGAAAGGGAGACCCAGGAUCUCUUCUCUGACUGGAAAGAUGAUGGAGCAGAUCAUCCUGGAAGAGAUGUAAAUGCACAUUCAAGAGGAGGAGGUGAUCCUAGACAGCCAGUCCAACCGAGGGCAGAUCAUUCCUGACUGAUCUGGUGGCCUAUGAUAGAAUGAUGGCCUUGGUAGACAAAGAGAGGGCAACAGAUGUCUUCUGCUUGGACUUGUGCAAGGCUUUUGACAUGAUCCCACACCAUAUCCUUGUUUCUAAAUUGCAGAGAGAUGAAGGCUGGACUAGUUGGUGAAUAAAGAGGUGAUUGGAUGGUCACAGCCAGAGGAUUGUGGUCAACGGCUCUUUGAGUAGAUAGAGGCCGGUCAUGAGUUGUGCCCCUCAGGAACCAUCUUGGGACUAGUGCUCUUCAGCAUUUUAAUUAAUGAAAUAGACAAGCAGUGUGUGUUUGCAGCACAGAAGGUCAACUGUAUCCUGGGCUGAAUCAAAAUGGGGGUGGCCAGCAGACCAAGGGAUAUGAUUAUUCUCUUGGUCUCUUCCCUUGUAAGGUCCCAUUUGGAGCACUGCAUCCAGGUCUGUGGCCCCCAGCACAAGAUGUGGAGCUUUUGGAACAGGUGAGCCUUCAAGGAGAGCCUCGAAGGCGGUCAGAGGGCUGAAGCACCUCUCUUGUGAAGGAGAAAAGUUGAGGGAGCUGGGCUUGUUUAACUUGAAGAGGGGAAAGCUCCAGGAAGACCUCAUUGAGACCUUCCAGUAUUUGAAGGGAGCUUAUAAAGUGGAGUGGGACUGACAUUUUACAUGGUCUGAAAGUGGUAGGACAAGGGGAAAUGGUUUCAAACUAAAAGAAGGGAGAUUUAGGUUAGGUACUGGGAGGAGGUUCUUCACUCAGAGGAUGGUGAGACGCUGGAAUAGGUUGCCCAGAGAAGCUGUGGAUGCCCCAUCCUUGUAGGUGUUCAGGUUGGAUGGGGCCCUGGGCAGCCUAAUUUAGUGGGUAGUAACCCUGUCCACGGCACAGCUGUUGAAACUAGAUGGUCUUUGAAGUUCCUUCCAACCUAAGCCGUUCUAGGAUUGUUUUAGCACAUAUAUGGGUUGGAAAUGACAUGCAGAUGGUUCUUGCUGUGCUGUCACUUAGCUUCCUUUCUGAACGAUGAGGAAAGCUGCAGAUAAAUUGAUAUCAGCAUAAUCCGAUUAAGAGACAAUGAGUUGGAAAGAGUAAGAAGCUUAGAAGAGCCUGCUAGCAUUUCAGUUGUGUUAAGGCUGGGACAAAGGGGGAGUGUUUCAUAUGGUAUGUUAUGAGUAAUGAGGAGUCAAAAACUGGGGUAUAGAUAUGUUAAAGGAAUGUUUAGUCUCAAUUUCAGAAAAGAUGUUCUGUAAGCUGUUACACUGAUUGAUUUGUUUCCCAUGGGAAAUAAUGAGGACAAGAUCUUUAAAACGAAAUGGAGCAAAGAAUGAGAAAAUUUACAAACAAAACCUGUCCCGAACUGGCCCAGUGUGAAAAACAAGCACCCUUCCCUCCUUUUCUGCCCUCUGUGGUUCUUGCUCCCAAGUUAAUUCCUCUCCAUUAAUCCUUAAUUAUAUGAAUUGCCACAAUGUAUGAGAUGUUUGUUUACAUGGUGUGUUCUUUCCCACUUGUCCCACUUUUCUCCUGGAUACUUUUCCUCCCUUCUCCUUCCUAUGCUUGCUUCCUCUCAUCCUCUCACACCCUACUACCUGCCCACAGAAGCCAGGCUGGAUCUCUUCUUGUUCAUGGUUCAUGGUCUUGGAGAGUUAAUUGCUGUGGAAGGCUGUGGUGUGCUGUGAUCUGAUGCUAGCAGCUUACUAGCAAGAAGACACAGAUUUUCAUCCAUUCAGCCCUAUGGACCUUAUAAACGGUGGGGAAAACUGUUGUCUCCAUUUUGCUUUUACAUGGUAGUUGAGAGGUAGCCAAUAGAAAAGGUUUACUUGAAGUGGCAAGUCAGGGUCAGGAAUAGGUUGACUCAGUCCUCUGGUAUCUCAUCUCAAAUCCUUUCCCCUGGCUGGCAAUUCCCACAGUCCUGUGGGUGCUGUCUGAUGUAUCUGUUCAGGAAGGGCAGGUGGAGCACAGUUGGCAAUGUGAGAGCACUCCCAGCAUGUCAGGCAGUACAGUGGGAAAAAGGUAAUGCAGGGCCAAGCUGGGCUCAGGACUUAGGUGUGAUGCUGGAAACUUCCCAUGGGUUAAACAUUUAAACUGUUGUUGCUGUUUCUUUCAACAAAUAAGCAAGGCAUACAUUGCAAUUUAUACCAAGUAAGGAAGUCUCUAUAAAACAUUCCCCAGAUUUGAAGUAAUCAUGUUUUUCAAUGGAAUAAAAAAAAAAAAAAAAUUGGCACAUAGCAUCUUCUCUUAAGCCUAGGCAAGACACACACAUUCAUUUCCAGUAGCAGCACAAAGCGUUCUGACUGUAACUAGGUGAGAAUGCUAAACAGACCCGGUUUCCCUGUUGGUGUCUGAAAACAAGGAUAAAUUCCUCAGCAGACAAGAGACAGAUGGUGCAGACAUUGCUACAAUCCUGGCUUUCUGGCAUUAGAAAGUUGUGCAAAUCCAAAGGUUCAGAGUGUGAAAGAUUCUUAAUUAAUUGUUAUCUCUAUCGGGAUGCUGUCAUUCUUUGCCAGUAGCACAGAGGGCUUGCAGUAAGCUUAGCUCUAGCAGGCAGGCAAAAUAUUUCUGUGAUGGCUUUAAUUCAUCCUUGGCUGGAUGAAUAAUGCACUGUUUGUCAUGCAGAGUAAGGGAAGUGAGACUCUUGUUGUUCUAGAUAGACAGAAGGCUAGAAAAGAGGUGCAGUUUUGGACAGCUAUUCUCUCCUGAUGCACUUGAGGAGUUUGUGGGGGAAUGUCUGAAUUCAACACUGUCAUGGGUUUGAUAUUUGUAGUGUUGCAUGCUGCACUGAAGUGUGAACAGCAUGUCUAUGCUGCCGUGCAUCACCAUCAAACUGCUUCAGUACUGACCAUCCAGAUCAGGGCAGCACACACAUGGGCUGGAAGUUCUCCUUAUUCAUCCAAUGACUGCUGCUGCAUUGCUGCACUCUAGGGUUUCUUUCUUGGUCUGUAGUGGGAAUCCCUACUGAAAAUGAAAGGACUCGGGAAGCUAAGGGACAGGUAAGGGGACACCCAUAGCUUCUUGUUUGGCAUAAAGGAGCCACAGUGGUGAAUAUGAGCAAGUUGUUGUCAAUGAAGUUAAGCUGGUGUGUGGAGUGGAAGGCUGUUUGGUGAUUAGGUUGGGGACAAUGGCAGGCUGGAAGAGGAGCAGUGAAAGAAAGAUCACAGAUGGAAAGUGGGAGUAGAGAUAGGAAAGCUGGUUGUCUUGUAUAGAAACUGGGAGAUGAGGGGAGAAUAUUAGCUAGCUGGAAAGAAAGGGCCUAGAUCAAAGAACUCAAAAUAAGGAAGGGAAAAAACAAGACAGUGCAGGAAGGGAAUCAUCUGUAAUGAUUUGGAAAGACAUAUCUGUCCAAGGAGCACAGCUCCUUAUAUCUUGAAAGGAACUUAUUCUCCUCUGCUGUCAAGAAGUCCCUGGAACUUGAGAGCAGUGUGUCCUGUAUGGUUGUAGAACAGACAUAUCUUUUUCAGUUAUCUGAUGUUAGCUCAGGUGAGAAGUAUCCUGUGCAUCAGUGUUUCUGAUGAGCCUGUAUGACCUGGUUUUGCCAAACCCUGCUGUCUUAGACUGUCACUUACCUCUUAACUCUACCAUUUGUGACAUUUACAUAGAUAGAGUUUUAUGUUGCUUUCAACAGUUCUGUUAAGUUGGAUUUAGUCAAUUCCGGGUCCAAGACCAUUCAACAUCUUCAUUAAUGAUCAAGAUGAUGGGCACAGUGCAUUCUCAACAACUUUACAGAUGAUGCAAAACUGUGAGGAGUGAUGUGUACAGCAGUGGGUCAUGCUGCCUUCCAGAGAGAUCUUAGCAGUCUGGAGAAAUGGCCUAGCAGGAACCUCAUGUAAUUCAACAAGGAGAAAUGCAAAGCUGGGAAGGAGCAACUUCUGGGAAGAAGCACCAAGACAUGCUGGGGGCACUCAGCUGGAAAACAGCUUCUCAGAGAAGGACCUGGGGGCCCUGAAUGAAAACAAGUGGAACAUGAGCUAGCAGUGAGCUCUUGUUUCUAGGAGGGCCAAUGGCAUUCGGGGCUGUGUCAGGCAAAGUGCUGCCAGCAAGUCAAUAGCGGUAAUCUUUCCCUUCUGCUCAGCACUGGUGAGACCACAGCUGGGAUGCUUUGUCCAGUUCUGGGCUCCUCUGUACAAGAGAAACACGGAUAGAGUCCAGUGGAGGACCAAUAAGCUGAUGAAGUAACUGGAGAACCCCCAGUUGUUUCUAAACCACUCCUUUGAGGAGCCAUUUAGAAAGAUGGACUAUUCAGCCUGGAGAAGAAAAGGCUCAGGAGGAAUUUUGUCAAUGCGUACAAAAACCUGAAGGGAGGAUGCACAGAGAACAGAGCCAAGCUCUUUUCAGUGGUACUCAUUGCCAGGACAAGAGAUGAUGGGAACAAACUGGAGCGCAGGAUGUUCACUCUGAACACUAGGAAGCACUUUUUUGCUAUGCAGAUGACAGAGCAUUGGCACAGGUUGUGGAGUCCCUUCCCUGGAGAUUUUCAGAAGCUGACUGAACUUGGGUCUGGGUGUCCCUGCCCUAGGUGUCCCUGCUCAGGGUGUCCUUGCUUGAGCAGAGAUCAAAGCAGAUGGACUUAGAGGGCCUGCCAACCUCAACCAUGUUGUGAUUAUGUUGUUUCUGGGGUUUCCUCCCUUUACAUGCUGCUCGUAUACUCUUAAUUUUCAUGGUCUUGCUCCAUAGCAUGUUUUACCAGUUGGUCCUCUCCUCCCUUUUUUCCCAUAGUUCGACAUGGUAGACUGAAGUACCUGAGAGCCUCUGAGGAGAACUCUUGAGUGUGCAAAUAACUGAGCACCAGCAAAUGCAAGUGAAUGUUUUCAGUCGUUUCUUGGUGUGGUCAGCAGUGGUUCUGGACAGACGUGUUAUAUAUCUGUGCUGACUGAUUAGACAGGAUCCAGUCCUGCUAAGCAGUGUAUCUGGAAAAAUGUUAAUCAAACAAACCAGACAGUCAGUUUCAGUGGCUUACAGAGGAUUCUGAAAUGGUUUCUUACAUAUUUUUCAUUAUCAAAAGCAUGACAUAAAUGUUUAUUUGAUCCUCUCAGGAAUUAUAUUGUGAUUUCCCCCUUAAUUGAUUUGAAACAAGCUUUUCUCUUGUUUUUCACUAGUUCAGUUUUUUGGUAAUCUGUAUGCAUUUUUACAGUGUUCCAAAAUACCGAACAUUUAUAUGUGGCUCCCCAAAUGGAGAUUAUGGGAUGGGGGAAAAAGUAGAAGAAGAAACUACACUUUUUAAAUCAGUUCUGCCUCUAAUGCCGGAGGCUUCUUUUCAUCCAUAAGAAGGCAAAGUCAGAUUUGCUUAUCUUAGGGAUCUUAAAUGUGUUGUGCUUCAAACUCCUGCAGGCAAGAGAUCUCACCCACUUGGUGCUGUGCUGAGCCCAGGCUUGAGCUUACUGACCUUCCUGGAGCCUAAUGACUGUUGCUCCAUUAGAGCCUUUACAGCAUCAAAACAUUGGCUCAUUUGCCACCUUCUCACUCCCACCCUAUAAAUGAGGAUUGUGGGUUACUGCUGUGCAUCAUCAGUUUUGUGCAAUGUGACUGCUCCAUCACAUGUCAGAGCUGUUUUCUCAGUUCUUUCCCUCCAUGUCCUGAAAGCUUUUCAUUAGUCAUCUAAGGGAGAAAAAAAGUACCCAAACUCUGUAUUCAUAUUCCCAUGGUGAAUUUUCCUGACUGGAUUUUUUUAGAUACAGGCUUUGGAUCUGUGCUUAAAUUUUUGCAGUUGUCAACAGCCAGAUCAGGAAAUCAUUAUUUGCAAAAAAAAAAACAAAAACAAAAAACCAGGUCAUUUAGGCUUCCAGGCUUGUGGCUCACUUCAUUUCCUGGCAGACUGUGUAGCAUUCAGCUUUGGCUCUGCAGUGUGAGCCCUGCAUUUCUGGAAAUUUGGGUCACUUACUUCUAGGGGGUCAAGAAACAGAUUUAGAUUACUGCUUUCUAUCAUUCUAAGUUUAAAAAAUCUCUCUUUGUUUCUUACGUGGAGCUUCUGACACCAAGCAGUCCCUAUUAUUUAUAAUAAAAUCUUAAAAAUAGGUUAAAAAACCUGGGGGUCCCCUUAAAGUUAUUUGGAAAAUCCAGAGUGUCUAAACUGAACCCUUAUUAUCACUCUUGUGAUCUUUGACUGGCCUUUUGCAUGAACAUGUGGAAGAUUAAUCUUCAUGCUAUUUUGCAUGUACUUACAUGGUCCCCUGAUGCUAUUUCAACACCAUUGACAUGGCGUUUUUAGCUGGAGAACAUGUGUUAGAAUUAAACUUCUUGUUAGUCAAAGCGCUUCUCUGUUUCCUGUUUUUCUCCCAAGCCUUCAAUGAUCAUUUUGCUAGAGAAGCAGAGAUGCAGACACCCAGCCCUAGCACUGGUUCUAAACUCUGCCCAGAUCCUUAUUCACCUUCCCUCUGUGCUGAUUCUAGGCUUUUAUAGGUGGAUGUUCACUAGACAUGUUAUUCACAGUGUGUAAGGGGAGGUUGGGCUGCAUGAAUCAGAGCCCUGAUAGUCCCUGGCUCAGUUGUAUAGUGGUGUCUGACUCAGGCUUGUUUUGGUAGUCCCAGUCAUGGAUCUCAAAGCAACUGGAACUUCUUGCCCCUAUAAGGUACUGUGUAUUAGGCAUCACUUGCAGUGGUGUUAGUCUGUUCUAGUUGUUGCUAUUAUUAGUGCUGUGACUGUCCCACAAGGUGAUCGGCUCAUGUCUGAGUCCUAGCAGAUGGCUGGCUUGGCUCUCAGAGGUGACUUGCUUUCCCAACAGGCACUUCUAAAGAGGUGCUGGGAAAACAACACCAUGGUUUGUGGGCUUCAAUCUGGGAUCAAGCAAAGAAGGCACAUUCAUAGCAUCUUUCUUCCUUUGUUAAUUUUCAUACGGAUGUUACAAUGCAUAGGUUCACCUCUGUCAUAACUAUGUGGGUUGGCUCUUCUACUUGUUGUUGUCCUGUAUUUUUCUGUAGGUAUCCUGAGUCUCUGUUUCCCUCAGUACUUAGACACUACUUUUCAAGCCCUAUGCUAUAAAUGGGGUUUUAACCUCCGACUGCCUGGAAUCUCCCCUGACUUGGUACUGGCUUCACAAAUACCCUAUUCGAAGCUACUGAGGUUUCAAAAUAAAUAGCAGAAAAAGGAAAUUCAUUUCUAUGUGGUGAAAUUUACCAUUGUUUUUUGGUUAUCUUGGAACAGGUUAUCCACACCACUGGUUAACACUGCCACAGAUUUCCAGGCUUCCCCCCACCCCGUGCUGAUGCUAUUCUCUCCCUGCAUCCUCCCUCAUUUUCUCCUGUCCUCAUGGUCCUCCCAUCAGUCACAGGAUGGGACCGAAUGGUUUUAUACAGUGGCUCAGAGCACUUUAUGCUCUCCCUUGGGUGAUACGUGCUCAGGUGAUGGCCCCACCAUGGAGGUAAGUGUUGUUCAGCCUCCCAUUGCACCAUGUUGGCUGUGUUCAGCCCCGUCUUCCACUCUCGUUGCCCAGAUGAUUAGUGAGGACUGUGUCUGAAGUACAGGAGUGCCAACUGUCUCUUAAAACAGUGUGCUCUCUUAAAACUCAUGUGGUGGGGGAAAGGGGGGAAAGAAAUCCAACAGUACUUCCCUCCUCACUCUGAUAAGCCAUGGCAUCACAAAGUACUCACCAGGAAAUUCCCCAUUAAACACUUGCAAUAGUGUGCAGGUUUAUAUAGUUGCAGAAAGUGAAUGGCAGAUGGCUGUGUCUUAGCAGAAGACCUGUCAGGUUGUUGUAACAUAAGGACAGACUGUGAAUGGGAGUCACAGCUCUAAUUUCUUUCUCCUUCAUUACCUGUUGAGAAGGCCAAACCAGCCAACCCUGUGACACAGUGUUCUUGCUGCAGAACUCCUUUCUUGAGGUAACUGCUUAUCAGCUGUGGUUUGUUUUGAGCUUUGUGGACCUACUGGUUUUGCUGAGGUGGGCCCCUUAGGAAGAACACUUGCUGUGCGCUGGACGUGGUAUUUUCAGCCCAGGGUCCUUGUCUAUCUCACCCCCCUGUCAGAUCUAAUGAGAACCCAGUCUGGAGAGGCAUUCCUGCAUUUGUGCCACUGAAAUACGUGGGUAGGUAGUCCACCUGACUGCAGGGAGAAUGUGGCAUGUUUAAAUACAGGCAGACUUUGGGCUUUGAGGCCCAAAGAGUGAGCUUUAUCUUGUGGGGUGUUGAAUGGUGUUGACUUUUACUACAGCCAGGAAGGUUUGAGGGAGGUUAGUGCUCUGAUGGGCUGGGGCUCUUUUUCCUGUGGAAUUUCCCCUGCUUUCCUGCUGUAGGGUUCACUAGAGGGACUUCGAUCAGACCCAUUCCACUCCAUUGAAAUCCAUAGGCUUUCACUGUAGCCAGAGCACUGUGAUAGGAAAUCGUGGCCAGGGUCUAUGGGGCAAUGGCAAGUCCCUCAGUGAUCUGGCUCUGGCCCUGAGCAGCACUAGUUGUUAAAACGGCCAAGAAGAAUUUGAAUAAGCUAAACCCUUUACAUGACUAAGUAAUAAAUUGUUUAUGCAGCAUAAUUGGGGAAAGAAGGAAGACAAUUUCUAAGUCUGACAAGAAAGCCAGCUUUUUAUUAACAGCCUUAUUUAGCCUGGAAUUAUCAUAUUAAGUGGUGCUGCUCUGUACUACCGUAGCACAUAGCUGCUAGGAAAUUGCUUCAAAGAAAAAGGGAAACAAGUUGCAGAACCAAGGGUCAGCUGUUCAGCAAGAAGUCAUCUUUCCCACAUGAAAGCCCAUUGGGUUGCACACCUUUACAUCUGCUGACCUUCUCUCCAUCUCAGUUCACUAGCAGAGAAUUAAUAAUAACAAUCCAUUGGAAUAUUUUAGCAGAUAUUCAACUAUUACUUGUAUUACUGUUAGCAACCAGUUGAGGAAGGUGGCCUAGAAUGCGAUCCUAUUGCCUAAGGUUGGUAUUGCAACUGUGGUUGCCAAAGAGAUGUCUGAGAAUUAGGCAUCCAGCUGUCAUUCAGCAGGAUUUAUGCUCUCAGCUCUCUGGCUUUGUAGGCUUUAAAUAUUUCAUGUAUUAUGUAGUGAAGCUGUAACGUUUGAAUUCUGUGGAAUAAACACUGUCAUGGCAAGCAAAAAGGAUAGUAAUAGCAAUGGAAAGUAAUUUAAUAUAUCAGCAAAGAUAACCUAAUAUUGUCCACUAGAGACACAUUAGACAUGAAUGUAAUAUUAUAUUGCUAUGGAGAUAUUUAAAAAAAAAAAAAGAAUAUUGGCAGCACCCUUUUCCACUGAAAUCCAGGGACUGUUCUCUGAGACUUGAACUAGAUCAACUGUAGCUGAGCUCUGGUUGCUGCUGAAAAUUCCAGCAGUGGGACAGCAAUUGUAUGCAUAUACAUCCAACUGCACACCCUCAUAGGGGUAACGGCUGCCUGGAAGGUUUGUUAUUCACAAGCUUAUCAGCCAUGGAGAUUGCACUCCAAAUAUAGCUCUGGGGUUACUGAAGGCAUUUUUGACCUGACGGAAGUUGAUGGGGUUUUUGGCAUCACCGUCUGCCAGGCUAUGAUUCCAUCCUUUGUAUUAAAACAUAUAGGAUAGCUUUAACUCUGCAGAAACUUUAAUGUUAUAUGGCAGGAUUUCCUCAUGCUCUGGAAAAAGAGUGUGAUACAGAGGAUGUUUUCGUUCUUGAUUUUUGGAAACUAGAACAGCCAAGCUUGUGUCUUCGUGAAAAUAGGACUCAUUCAGUGUAUCAUGUUGUUCCAAAAUGCCUAGUAAACAUUUCUGUGUUAAGGCCUGACCUAAGCUUAUCAUUUAAAGAUUUUUUUUUUCUAUCUGAACCCUAUUUUUUAUUAGGCUGAGUUUGUCUUUUAAGCUCUGCUGCAUGUGAAUUUUGGAGGGAGAAACAGAAAGAUUAAAAUUGAUGCAGCAGUCAAAAGGGAUCCCGUGGGCAAAGCCAUAGUGGGUUGUGUCCUCUUCAGAUCAGCAGAAAAGGGACCUAAUUCAGCAGUCGUUAGUGAUGCUGGAGGAAAGCAAUGAGUUGGCACCAGAUCAUCAUGCUCUACAUGAGGGCACAGAAGAGGAUGGUUUGAGAACAGCUGCUGCAACAACAGGGGAAAUGCUGAGUUUUGUGUAUGGUACCAAAAAGAAUUCAACUUAGUUACAGUUUGGUAAAUGGGGAGAAAAACAGGGAUGAAGAACCUGUGAGUCCCCUAGCAAGGAGGGAUGGUUGCCAAUGCCCACAGGCAGUGAUGAUCUUUGGGGAUUCCAGAUCCUGGAAACUCUAGGGAUGGCAAGAGACCCAAUCCCUUUGAGGAGAUCUGAGCCACCCCUUAUAGGAGAGCUAAAGAUAAAGGGGGGUAGCCUAGAGCAACCCUACUGACUUGUUUAAAAUCCCUCCCAAUCUGAAAUUGAGUUAGCAGAUCUGUCUUUUGUUUUCAUUCCUGAGUAAAAACAGCUGGGGUGAAAGGAAAAAGCCAG
This is a long non-coding RNA of Lagopus muta (rock ptarmigan), 10976 nucleotides long. RefSeq lists it as uncharacterized. NCBI's taxonomy places the organism in Eukaryota, Metazoa, Chordata, Aves, Galliformes, Phasianidae. The record is from RefSeq and is a predicted model, not a curated record. The transcript is spliced from 4 exons.